This is a long non-coding RNA of Mesocricetus auratus (golden hamster), 1375 nucleotides long. RefSeq lists it as uncharacterized. The transcript has 3 exons. The record is from RefSeq and is a predicted model, not a curated record. Lineage: Eukaryota; Metazoa; Chordata; Mammalia; Rodentia; Cricetidae.
GUGGGGGAGGCGGGGCGCCCCCGGCCCGGCUCAGCGCUCGGCUCCCGGGGCCCCAGGGAUCCCUAGCAGCAGCGCGCCGGGCCCCGGGCUCAGUGCCAGCGGGUGUGUCCAUCGUCGGUCCGCCGCCCCCGCCCCCUGCGAUGACUCCCGGCUCGCCCGGCUCUGUGGCCGCGCCCGGUAGACUCGCGGCGCGUGGCCGGGCUGCUGGGCUAUGGCCUCCGCGUUCCGAGAGCCCAGGGUUGGAGGAUCCGGACUGAAGGGAUCUUCCCUUCUGCUCUCAACACCUGAGGAAACUGGUGGAAAGUUUGAGAAAGAGAAGUCCAAUCGUCUUUCCGCUUCCGCCCUCCCUAUGACAGUCGAACCACGAGAAGGAGCAGGAAAUGUCCACAUCUCCGAAGGACCACCGCGAGCCACGCCAAGCCAAUCCUGUCUCCUUGCUUCUGCCCUGACUCCCUGAGCACAUGAGAACUUUCCUGUUUUCACAGCCCUCCCUGGGUUGUUCAGACCUCACAGGCCUGUCUGCCUACUCUGACACUCCAGAUGCAGCAGCCAGCCAUCCCUCCCAAGGCCCGCACUGCUGAAUCUUCCCCUGUCCCUCUGCGUGCUGUCUACACAGACCCUACCUGGAAUACUAAGAGGAAACUUUGGCUGGAGACCUGUGGCUACCCAGUGUGGGCUUUUUCAUCUCGCCAGAACACUUCGUUUUCUGUGUUUGUCUUCCUUGGCUUGCUAACCCUGAAGUGUCAAGCACCUAAUGGUUUCCGGCGCUUGGGGAUCCGUUGGAAUGUGUAAAUUUUCACUUUGUCUUCAUAUUGAUCUCCGUCGGCAUUCCUGAAGCUGCACCAUGCACUUUCUGUACAACAGAACCCAGGAGGAGGAAUUCCUGAGUCCAUGGCCAGUGGAAAGAUGAGCAUCAGCAAUGUUGCGCAGAGGCUCCACUCUUGAAGCAAGGGUGUCAAAGACAAACAUAGGUGCCUUAGAAGUUCGGGGCUGAAGACUGACAGAUCAUCAAACUUGAAGAAACCUUUGGAGAAGGCUGCCCACAGAUCUAGGACAUUCAUUUGGGUACUCUAUGAGCAUGAAAAUUAAAUGUUACUGAGCUACCAUGCAUACUGGGAUGAGUUGCAGUGUUUACUCUUGCCUUAAUACGGCAAUUGACUUGGCCUCCGAGAAUAGAUUUGGAGAAAAAAAAUAUAUGUAUACACAUACACACAUAUGUAUGUAUGUAUGUAUGUAUGUAUGUAUGUAUGUAUGUAUAUAUGUAUGUACCCCAGGAGAGUUUGAGACCCAAGCCCUUGCAGAUUUAUAGUAGACCAAUUAACAGAAUGCUAUUGGCCUCCUUAUCUUUGCUAAAGAGAACAAUCUGACUGAAAAA